This 479-nucleotide ribosomal RNA is filed under the name uncultured bacterium. RNAcentral describes it as "partial 16S ribosomal RNA". It matches the Rfam family "Bacterial small subunit ribosomal RNA", at positions 28 to 507 of the family's 1533-position model. The record is from RNAcentral.
GAUGAACGCUAGCGGGAGGCCUAACACAUGCAAGCCGAGCGGUAUUUGUUCUUCGGAACAGAGAGAGCGGCGCACGGGUGCGGAACACGUGUGUAACCUGCCUUUAUCUGGGGGAUAGCCUUUCGAAAGGAAGAUUAAUACCCCAUAAUAUAUUGAGUGGCAUCAUUUGAUAUUGAAAACUCCGGUGGAUAGAGAUGGGCACGCGCAAGAUUAGAUAGUUGGUGAGGUAACGGCUCACCAAGUCAAUGAUCUUUAGGGGGCCUGAGAGGGUGAUCCCCCACACUGGUACUGAGACACGGACCAGACUCCUACGGGAGGCAGCAGUGAGGAAUAUUGAACAAUGGGUUAGCGCCUGAUCCAGCCAUCCCGCGUGAAGGACGACGGCCCUAUGGGUUGUAAACUUCUUUUGUAUAGGGAUAAACCUACUCUCGUGAGAGUAGCUGAAGGUACUAUACGAAUAAGCACCGGCUAACUCCGUG